GACUGCGGACGACAUUA
This 17-nucleotide ribosomal RNA is filed under the name Xanthoperenniporia tenuis. Its description in RNAcentral is "Perenniporia tenuis partial 18S ribosomal RNA". The record is from RNAcentral. Lineage: Eukaryota; Fungi; Basidiomycota; Agaricomycetes; Polyporales; Polyporaceae.